Molecule: ribosomal RNA, 477 nt
Filed under: uncultured ciliate
Lineage: Eukaryota; Ciliophora
Description: SSU rRNA
Rfam family: Eukaryotic small subunit ribosomal RNA
Source: RNAcentral
AAGUAUUAUACAGCGAAACUGCGAAUGGCUCAUUAAAACAGUUAUAGUUUAUUUGGUAAUGUUUUUACAUGGAUAACCGUGGUAAAUCUAGAGCUAAUACAUGCUGCANAACCUGACUUCGUGGAAGGGUUGUAUUUAUUAGGUAUAAACCAAUACGCCGCAUGGCGUUUUGUGAUGAUUCAUAAUAACUGAGCGAAUCGUCUGCUUGUCAGACGAUAAACCAUUCAAGUUUCUGCCCUAUCAGCUUUCGAUGGUAGUGUAUUGGACUACCAUGGCUAUCACGGGUAACGGGGAAUUAGGGUUCGAUUCCGGAGAGGGAGCCUGAGAAACGGCUACCACAUCUAAGGAAGGCAGCAGGCGCGUAAAUUACCCAAUCCUGACUCAGGGAGGUAGUGACAAGAAAUAACAAACCGGGGCACUUUGUGCUUACGGGAUUGCAAUGAGUACAAUUUAAAACACUUAACGAGGAACAAUUGG